UACAGAGGUCUCAAGCGUUGUUCGGAUUCAUUGGGCGUAAAGGGUGCGUAGGCGGCGGGGCAAGUCGGAUGUGAAAUCUCAGGGCUCAACCCUGAAACUGCAUUCGAUACUGCCUUGCUCGAGGACUGGAGAGGAGAUUGGAAUUCACGGUGUAGCAGUGAGAUGCGUAGAUAUCGUGAGGAAGACCAGUGGCGAAGGCGGAUCUCUGGACAGUUCCUGACGCUGAGGCACGAAGGCCAGGGGAGCAAACGGG
Molecule: ribosomal RNA, 253 nt
Filed under: uncultured bacterium
Lineage: Bacteria
Description: partial 16S ribosomal RNA
Rfam family: Bacterial small subunit ribosomal RNA
Source: RNAcentral